This 1796-nucleotide long non-coding RNA is filed under the name Acromyrmex echinatior (Panamanian leafcutter ant). Its description in RNAcentral is "uncharacterized LOC105144256". Lineage: Eukaryota; Metazoa; Arthropoda; Insecta; Hymenoptera; Formicidae. The record is from RNAcentral.
UUAUAUACACUAAAUAUAAUUAUAAGAAUAGAAUGGAAGACUGCAAUGCAUUCUGGUGUUACACUGUGAAAUUAAACUGUUCCAACCGUUUCAACAAGUACUUUACACAGUGGAAAUAUCUCUGUGUCCUAGCUGAAAAAACGGCCAUGGAGAAUUGGAUAUGCAUGCUCAAUCAGAGUUGUCAAGUAUUUUUUACUAAAAAAGGGAUUAAGCUUUUAAAAAUUUUAAAGUGUAAGAGCUGUGUUUAUAAACUCAAAUUAAUGAUAACAUGUUUUUCAAAUCUCAAGUAUAUAAAUAGUAUGCAGAAGUCAGGAAUGGCCAAGAAAAGAAUCGCAGUACCACAGUUUCAUCAAAUCACUGGAGUAUCAAAGAUUUCUAUUCUACAGACAUAUUGUUGCCAAAAGGACAAAAGUGUCAGCAUGUAAAAGAGAAAUAUUUGGAAAAAAUGAUCUAAAUUAGGACUAAGUAAUACAUAUAAUUUUAUUGCCAUUACUAAAAUUCCUGACGGAAGUUGAAUCAUCCUUAACUUUUGAUGCGACUUUUUUACUAUUUUAUCAUAGUAAUGUAAUCAAUCAAUGUAAAGUAAUUUCACAUUGUACAUUACUAUUUAUUAUAUUUGUGACAGUUGUAACUUAAUAGUGCAAACUAUUAUCAAAAUACCAGACCUUUCUUCUUUCUUACAUUUGCGAUUCAAUCUGACAAUUAACUUUAAAUUACUGAAUAUGUAUGGUAUUUUCCUAAUAUUAACAGCAAUUUGACACAUCUUUGUCUAAAACAUUGUACAAAUAUAAUAAGAAUAGUUUAAAAGAAUAAUAUAUAAAAAGUUACAUAAAUUUAAGGAUAUGAUUCAUCAUUCAUAUAUUUAAUGUUAUGUACAGUAUAUUCAUUCUGCCUUUAUUCUAUUAAUACAUAGUAUUAAAUGUAUUUACAUCUGUUUCUUUAAGAAUGUUAGAAUUAGAGAUCAUCGACGAUUCACUGCGCGGCGAUGAGAUUUUUCUGAAUAUUUAGAUGUGACAAGUGCAAAUAAUAUUGAAGAAUGCAUGGGUCUGUUUUUUUUAGUUUGAACUUCUUGCAUGGUUUACAUUUCCUCUUUUUCUCUAAUGAGUUAGAAAUAAAAAAAAAGAAAUAGUGCAACAAGUUUCAAUUAAAAAAAAUAGACCUAAUACAGUAUUAAAUUGUGUGUUUUGUCUCAAAAAGAUUGUUAAACGUAUAUUUGUCCGCAGUGCCUAUUAAUUACAGCGAUGCUCGUUAAACUGCUCGUUUGAUAAAUAAAAAAUUUCAAGGAUGCCCCUUGACCGUAGUAUUAAUAAUUUUCAUUAUUCUUUUCCUUCGUGCGUAUAUUUUAGGUUAAAAAGAAACAUAUUUUGAGCACAAAAUUUCAACAUAAAUAUUUUAUACUUCAUGUCAUAUGUAUUUAUAAUGAUUUAAUCUUUCGUCUUAUUUUUUCCUAUAAAUAUCCGGGAUAUUAGUUUCAUAUUUUUAACUCUUUUUUUUUUUAAAUAGGUGUUUAUGCAUUUUUUAAUCACUUUUCUAUUUAAGUCUUUUUGGAUAUGAUUGAAUAUAUGUGUCUAUUAAUGCCCGCGAUGUAACUUCGCGAUGUAAGAUUGCUUGAAUAUAGGAUUAAAUUUCAUGAUUCUCUAAUUCUGAGCAGUGUACCAUGCAUCGUAAUUAUGCAAUAGAUCCGAUCCUCAGCGCUGUUUACCUAAGGUAUUAGCUGUACAUUAACUAAUAUCUGUUAAAAGAAAAAAAAGAUUGUAAAUACAAAAAUGGAAAAGAGAGGAAUACGGAAAAAUCGA